CUCAUAGCGCGGUUACUCAGUGAGUGUCUCCCAUAGCGCGGUUACUCAGUCAGUGUCACUCAUAGCGCGGUUACUCAGUCAGUGUCACUCAUAGCGCGGUUACUCAGUCAGUGUCACUCAUAGCGCGGUUACUCAGUCAGUGUCACUCAUAGCGCGGUUACUCAGUGAGUGUCCCCCAUAGUGCGGUUACUCAGUGAGUGUCUCCCAUAGCGUGGUUACUCAGCGCGGUUACUCAGUGAGUGUCCCUCAUAGCGCGGUUACUCAUUGAGUGUCCCCCAUAGUGCGGUUACUCAGUGAGUGUCUCCCAUAGCGCGGUUACUCAGUGAGUGUCCCCCAUAGCGCGGUUACUCAGUGAGUGUCCCCCAUAGCGCGGUUACUCUGUGAGUGUCCC
This is a non-coding RNA of Pelobates cultripes (western spadefoot toad), 391 nucleotides long. Lineage: Eukaryota; Metazoa; Chordata; Amphibia; Anura; Pelobatidae. The record is from the annotation of a GenBank genome assembly.